This 172-nucleotide ribosomal RNA is filed under the name uncultured bacterium. RNAcentral's name for it is "partial 16S ribosomal RNA". It matches the Rfam family "Bacterial small subunit ribosomal RNA", at positions 338 to 524 of the family's 1533-position model. The record is from RNAcentral.
CCUACGGGAGGCAGCAGUCGGGAAUAUUGGGCAAUGGGCGAAAGCCUGACCCAGCGACGCCGCGUGAGGGAAGAAGGCCUUCGGGUCGUAAGCCUCUGUCAUCGGGGACGAAGGAAGUGACGGUACCCGAGGAGGAAGCCCCUGCUAACUACGUGCCAGCAGCCGCGGUAAU